Molecule: ribosomal RNA, 450 nt
Filed under: uncultured bacterium
Lineage: Bacteria
Description: partial 16S ribosomal RNA
Rfam family: Bacterial small subunit ribosomal RNA
Source: RNAcentral
GUGGGGAAUAUUGGACAAUGGGCGAAAGCCUGAUCCAGCCAUGCCGCGUGUGUGAAGAAGGUCUUCGGAUUGUAAAGCACUUUAAGUUGGGAGGAAGGGCAGUAAGUUAAUACCUUGCUGUUUUGACGUUACCGACAGAAUAAGCACCUGCUAACUUCGUGCCAGCAGCCGCGGUAAUACGAAGGGUGCAAGCGUUAAUCGGACUUACUGGGCGUAAAGCGCGCGUAGGUGGUUUUGUAAGUUGGAGGUUAAAUCCCCGGGCUCAACCUGGGAACUGCCUCCAAAACUGCAUGACUAGAGUACGGUAGAGGGUAGUGGAAUUUCAUGUGUAGCAGUGAAAUGCGUAGAUAUAGGAAGGAACACCAGUGGCUAAGGCGACUACCUGGACUGAUACUGACACUGAGGUGCGAAAGCGUGGGGAGCAAACAGGAUUAGAUACCCGGGUAGUCC